CUAGAAUAAAUAUUUUUUUAUAUAAAAAGACCCAUAGAGUCAACCUCAAUUUAUUGAAUCUUUCAAAACUAAAUCAUGGAUAUCUGAUGGAUAAUCUAAAUUGAAAGUCAAAUUACAAUUGUUAACAAUGGCCUGUUUACAAAGAAAAUCAUCAAUCCUAUUACAACACCUAUUGGCCCAAAUAACAUUUGAAGAAGUGAAAUUUGUCAUCUGCUUGUAGACCUCAUCGGUGCGGUGGCCCAAGAUUAUUAUGUAUUUUCCCCUAUUGUUUAUGCGGUUGACCAAACUGAUGCAGUCAGUUUCAAACUAAACUUUAUUGAAAUUAAAAGCUUUAGCAAAUUUUAGACUUUCCUCAAACACUUUUAGCUUAACCCAUUCAGCAUGCAUGUUCGUAUUAAUGAUGCUUUCCCCCUAAAACAAAACCAUCCGAGUCCUGAGAAGUCAUCCCAUAGACCAUUUUCUGAUGCAGUUAGUUUCAAACUAAACUUUAUUGAAAUUAAAAGCUUUAGCAAAUUUUAGACUUUCCUCAAACACUUUUAGCUUAACCCAUUCAGCAUGCAUGUUCGUAUUAAUGAUGCUUUCCCCCUAAAACAAAACCAUCCGAGUCCUGAGAAGUCAUCCCAUAGACCAUUUUCUUCGAUGAAACAGCGGCAUCAAAUUAAUUUUCACGGUGCCAUGAGGGGGUUUCAGCCAAUUUUUUUUCAACCGGAGUUACAGGCAACAGAGGUUUAUUGACCAAGUUAUGAAUGUGAAAUUCCUGACACACUGUUAAGGCUCUCUUCCAUACCACCCUAGCUUAUAACUCUUUACCUCUGAAAAUAAAAUUGUUCCUAUUAUUCCAGCUAUUCCAAAGAGUAGUAAUGAAGUCAGAAACAACUUUAAGGUCCAGCACUCGCAUAAUGUCUUCUAUCCAGUCAAUGCACUAUAUGUAAUCGCCAACGAGAAGUUUAUUGUUAAGACCACCUAAGACAAGGAUUUCACGAGCAUUGGGACAAUCUUUUAAUGCAUGAUAAAGGUUUCAACACAAGCCCUGCAUCUAAGGCAUUCUUUCUUGAACUCCUUGCGAAUGGUAGAAAUUUUUUGAUAUGUGGGAAGGAUAUCAUGUCCCACUUUCCAGUAGAAAAUGCUAAUUUUAGGAAGAGUCUUCAGCUUCCAAAUGGUUCUCCAAAAGAAACGGUACGGGCCAUGGCCAACCUGUUUUAGAAAAAGCUAAGAAUAUGUGAACUUGGUCGUAUAAUAACUGUAGGGAUUAUGGAACCACCCUUUUCUGUCACUUGGACCAUUAGGAAUAAUGGGAAUUUUUCAAAUCUGCUCCCCAAUCUCCCGAUCAAAACCCAAGUUGUUGAACCAAAUAUCAAUGCUUCUCCCAUCUCCCAUCAUCCAACCAAAGCCAUUUUUUAAAUAUCUUGCAGCCACGGCAAUACUCUGCCAAAGGUAAAAAGGUUUAUCGAUGCACUUGGGUUAACAAAAUGUCACCAUUAGGAAAAUAUUUCGAACUUAGCACACGGUAGCACAAGGUGUCAUUGCAAGAAAUAAGCUACCACACUUGUCUCCCUAAAAGGGCCCCCAUUUCUUUAGGGAAACAAACCCUCUCCCACGCAAGCAUAGACCAACUUCGAUUUUUUUCAUUUCCCCCACCACAUACAACUUAUUUUUUAUUGUAAAUCCUCAAUAAUGCCUUUUGGAGAAAGGGAAAUCUAGAAAGCAUAAGUUGGGAUGGAU
This 1722-nucleotide long non-coding RNA is filed under the name Gossypium barbadense (sea-island cotton). Its description in RNAcentral is "long non-coding RNA (GBAR_LNC023204)". The record is from RNAcentral. Lineage: Eukaryota; Viridiplantae; Streptophyta; Magnoliopsida; Malvales; Malvaceae.